This 460-nucleotide ribosomal RNA is filed under the name uncultured bacterium. RNAcentral's name for it is "partial 16S ribosomal RNA". It matches the Rfam family "Bacterial small subunit ribosomal RNA", at positions 338 to 795 of the family's 1533-position model. The record is from RNAcentral.
CCUACGGGUGGCAGCAGUGAGGAAUAUUGGUCAAUGGACGAGAGUCUGAACCGGCCAAGUAGCGUGAAGGAUGACUGCCCUAUGGGUUGUAAACUUCUUUUAUAUGGGAAUAACAUGUUCCACGUGUGGGAUUUUGUAUGUACCAUAUGAAUAAGGAUCGGCUAACUCCGUGCCAGCAGCCGCGGUAAUACGGAGGAUCCGAGCGUUAUCCGGAUUUAUUGGGUUUAAAGGGAGCGUAGGUGGAUUGUUAAGUCAGUUGUGAAAGUUUGCGGCUCAACCGUAAAAUUGCAGUUGAAACUGGCAGUCUUGAGUACAGUAGAGGUGGGCGGAAUUAGUGGUGUAGCGGUGAAAUGCUUAGAUAUCACGAAGAACUCCGAUUGCGAAGGCAGUUCACUGGACUGCAACUGACACUGAGGCUCGAAAGUGUGGGUAUCAAACAGGAUUAGAUACCCGGGUAGUC